This 253-nucleotide ribosomal RNA is filed under the name uncultured bacterium. RNAcentral's name for it is "partial 16S ribosomal RNA". It matches the Rfam family "Bacterial small subunit ribosomal RNA", at positions 524 to 776 of the family's 1533-position model. The record is from RNAcentral.
AACGUAGGAGACAAACGUUAUCCGGAGUUACUGGGCGUAAAGGGCGUGUAGGCGGUUUGUUAAGUCUGGCGUGAAAGCUCUCGGCUAAACCGGGAGAGGUCGUUGGAUACUGGCAGACUAGAGGACGGUAGAGGCGUGUGGAAUUCCGGGUGUAGUGGUGAAAUGCGUAGAGAUCCGGAGGAACACCAGUGGCGAAGGCGACACGCUGGGCCGUACCUGACGCUAAAGCGCGACAGCAUGGGGAGCGAACCGG